This 283-nucleotide long non-coding RNA is filed under the name Neogobius melanostomus (round goby). RNAcentral's name for it is "lncRNA (ENSNMLG00000014779.1)". Lineage: Eukaryota; Metazoa; Chordata; Actinopteri; Gobiiformes; Gobiidae. The record is from RNAcentral.
AGAUUAUAUGCCAGUGGUAAUUUGUUUUAUGUGUCCCUCAGUUUGCAGCCCACUGGAUUUUGCCAAAAUGGUGAAAGUCAUGAAUACUCCCCAAGAGAAGAGGGAAGGGGAUCAAAGCAGAGCUGCAAAAAUCAAUACACUUUUGGACAAGAGGGUGGUAGUACUGCCUUCCCACCACUGGAUGAGGCUUCAGUGCAAGUAAAACUGAGAUGAUCUGGACAAGACAGGUGGGGUGAAGGUAUGUUUGUGGGUACUUUGUAAAUGUAACUAUGAACAAGUCACC